GUCAUAUGGAUUGUGUCAGCAGCCGCGCGGUAAUACGAAGGGACCUAGCGUAGUUCGGAAUUACUGGGCUUAAAGAGUUCGUAGGUGGUUAAAAAAGUUGGUGGUGAAAUCCCAGAGCUUAACUCUGGAACUGCCAUCAAAACUUUUUAGCUAGAGUAUGAUAGAGGAAAGCAGAAUUUCUAGUGUAGAGGUGAAAUUCGUAGAUAUUAGAAAGAAUACCGAUUGCGAAGGCAGCUUUCUGGAUCAUUACUGACACUGAGGAACGAAAGCAUGGGUAGCGAAGAGGAUUAGAUACCCUCGUAGUCCAUGCCGUAAACGAUGUGUGUUAGACGUUGGAAAUUUAUUUUCUGUGUCGCAGCGAAAGCAAUAAACACACCGCCUGGGGAGUACGACCGCAAGGUUAAAACUCAAAUGAAUUGACGGGGACCCGCACAAGUAGUGGAGCAUGUGGUUUAAUUCGAAGAUACGCGCAGAACCUUACCAACACUUGACAUGUUCGUCGCGACUUUAAGAGAUUAAAGUUUUCGGUUCGGCCGGACGAAACACAGGUGCUGCAUGGCUGUCGUCAGCUCGUGUCGUGAGAUGUUGGGUUAAGUCCCGCAACGAGCGCAACCCUCACUUUUAGUUGCCAUCAUUUAGUUGGGCACUCUGAAAGAACUGCCAGUGAUAAGCUGGAGGAAGGUGGGGAUGACGUCAAGUCCUCAUGGCCCUUACGUGUUGGGCUACACACGUGCUACAAUGGCAUUUACAAUAGGAAGCAAGACGGCGACGUUAAGCAAAUCCUAAAAAAAUGCCUCAGUUCGGAUUGUACUCUGCAACUCGAGUACAUGAAGCUGGAAUUACUAGUAAUCGCGGAUCAGCGCGCCGCGGUGAAUACGUUCCCGGGUCUUGCACACACCGCCCGUCA
Molecule: ribosomal RNA, 907 nt
Filed under: uncultured bacterium
Lineage: Bacteria
Description: bacterial SSU rRNA
Rfam family: Bacterial small subunit ribosomal RNA
Source: RNAcentral